UCCACAGAACUUUCCAGAGAUGGAUUGGUGCCUUCGGGAACUGUGAGACAGGUGCUGCAUGGCUGUCGUCAGCUCGUGUUGUGAAAUGUUGGGUUAAGUCCCGCAACGAGCGCAACCCUUAUCCUUUGUUGCCAGCGGUUCGGCCGGGAACUCAAAGGAGACUGCCAGUGAUAAACUGGAGGAAGGUGGGGAUGACGUCAAGUCAUCAUGGCCCUUACGACCAGGGCUACACACGUGCUACAAUGGCAUAUACAAAGAGAAGCGACCUCGCGAGAGCAAGCGGACC
Molecule: ribosomal RNA, 286 nt
Filed under: Pseudomonas aeruginosa
Lineage: Bacteria; Pseudomonadati; Pseudomonadota; Gammaproteobacteria; Pseudomonadales; Pseudomonadaceae
Description: partial 16S ribosomal RNA
Rfam family: Bacterial small subunit ribosomal RNA
Source: RNAcentral